GGGGGAUAUUGCGCAAUGGAGGAAACUCUGACGCAGCAACGCCGCGUGAAGGAAGAAGGCCUUCGGGUUGUAAACUUUUGUCUUCAGGGAAGAAAAAAAUGACGGUACCUGAGGAGGAAGCCACGGCUAACUACGUGCCAGCAGCCGCGGUAAUACGUAGGUGGCGAGCGUUGUCCGGAAUUACUGGGUGUAAAGGGUGCGUAGGCGGGUAAUUAAGUCAGAUGUGAAAUGCCGAGGCUCAACUUCGGAGCUGCAUUUGAAACUGAUUAUCUUGAGUGAAGUAGAGGCAAGCGGAAUUCCCAGUGUAGCGGUGAAAUGCGUAGAUAUUGGGAGGAACACCAGUGGCGAAGGCGGCUUGCUGGGCUUUAACUGACGCUGAGGCACGAAAGCAUGGGGAGCAAAC
Molecule: ribosomal RNA, 403 nt
Filed under: uncultured bacterium
Lineage: Bacteria
Description: bacterial SSU rRNA
Rfam family: Bacterial small subunit ribosomal RNA
Source: RNAcentral